UGCAGAAUCCCGCGAACCAUCGAGUCUUUGAACGCAAGUUGCGCCCGAGGCCACUCGGCCGAGGGCACGCCUGCCUGGGCGUCA
This 84-nucleotide ribosomal RNA is filed under the name Morus alba (white mulberry). RNAcentral describes it as "partial 5.8S ribosomal RNA". It matches the Rfam family "5.8S ribosomal RNA", at positions 73 to 154 of the family's 154-position model. From Rfam's summary of the family: 5.8S ribosomal RNA (5.8S rRNA) is a component of the large subunit of the eukaryotic ribosome. It is transcribed by RNA polymerase I as part of the 45S precursor that also contains 18S and 28S rRNA. Lineage: Eukaryota; Viridiplantae; Streptophyta; Magnoliopsida; Rosales; Moraceae. The record is from RNAcentral. RNAcentral also lists the same sequence under 1 other name.